RNAcentral lists this small RNA (584 nucleotides) under Pan troglodytes (chimpanzee). Its description in RNAcentral is "processed transcript". Lineage: Eukaryota; Metazoa; Chordata; Mammalia; Primates; Hominidae. The record is from RNAcentral.
CGUGGAGCCCAGCCAAGAGCAGGACGUCCUAACCAGCAUGGAGGCCUCUGGCCACCUCAGCACAAAUCUCUGGCAUGCUGUCACUGAUGAUGACACAGAGACGAGUGUGACAGAGCUCGGACCUAGUUGCUCCCAGCAGGACCUGAGCCAGCUGGGUGCAGAGGACGCCGGGCUGCUCAAGCCAGAUCAGUUUGCAGAAAGCUGGAUGGGCUACUCGGGUCCCGGCUAUGGCAUCCUCAGCUUGGUGGUCUCCGAGAAGUAUAUCUGGUGCCUGGACUACAAAGGCGGCCUGUUCUGCAGCGCGUUGCCGGGCGCCGGGCUGCGCUGGCAGAAGUUUGAAGAUGCUGUCCAGCAGGUGGCAGUCUCGCCCUCAGGAGCCCUUCUCUGGAAGAUUGAACAGAAAUCUAACCGGGCUUUUGCUUGUGGGAAAGUCACCAUCAAGGGGAAGCGGCACUGGUACGAAGCCCUGCCCCAGGCAGUGUUUGUGGCCCUGAGCGAUGACACGGCCUGGAUCAUCAGGACCAGUGGGGACCUAUACUUGCAGACAGGUCUGAGCGUGGAUCGCCCUUGUGCCAGAGCCGUAA